This 449-nucleotide ribosomal RNA is filed under the name uncultured bacterium. Its description in RNAcentral is "partial 16S ribosomal RNA". It matches the Rfam family "Bacterial small subunit ribosomal RNA", at positions 354 to 796 of the family's 1533-position model. The record is from RNAcentral.
GUCGAGAAUCUUUCACAAUGGGGGCAACCCUGAUGGAGCGACGCCGCGUGGAGGAUAAGGUCUUCGGAUUGUAAACUCCUGUCAUGCGUGAACAAGGUUGCUUGGUUAAUACCUGGGCAAAUUGAUGGUAACGCAAGAGGAAGAGACGGCUAACUCUGUGCCAGCAGCCGCGGUAAUACAGAGGUCUCAAGCGUUGUUCGGAAUCACUGGGCGUAAAGGGCGCGUAGGCGGGAAGGUGUGUCGACCUGUAAAUCUAUCGUUUCAAGCGGUAGGCUUGGGUUGAAACUGCCUUUCUAGAGGAUUUCAGGGGAGUUUGGAAUUUACGGUGUAGCAGUGAAAUGCGUGGAUAUCGUAAGGAAGGCUUGUGGCGAAGGCGAAACUCUGGGGAAUACCUGACGCUGAGGCGCGAAGGCUAGGUUAGCAAACGGGAUUAGAAACCCGGGUAGUCC